This 392-nucleotide ribosomal RNA is filed under the name Aplanochytrium sp. Its description in RNAcentral is "partial small subunit ribosomal RNA". It matches the Rfam family "Eukaryotic small subunit ribosomal RNA", at positions 582 to 975 of the family's 1831-position model. The record is from RNAcentral. Lineage: Eukaryota; Bigyra; Thraustochytrida; Thraustochytriidae.
AUUCCAGCUCCAAUAGCGUAUAUUAAAGUUGUUGCAGUUAAAAAGCUCGUAGUUGGAUUUCUGGUAGGAGCGACCGUGCCGAACUUGAUUGUUCGUGUAUUGUGUUGUCUUCAGCCAUCCUCGUGGAGAACUUUUCUAACAUUAACUUGUUGGGAUUGGGACCCGCGUCGUUUACUGUGAAAAAAUUAGAGUGUUUAAAGCAGGCAUUAGCUUGAAUACAUUAGCAUGGAAUAAUAAGAUAGGACUUUGGUACUAUUUUGUUGGUUUGCAUACCAAAUUAAUGAUCAACAGGAACAGUUUGAGGAUAUUCGUAUGAACAUGUCAGAGGUGAAAUUCUUGGAUUUUGAUCAGACGAACUACUGCGAAAGCAUUUAUCAAGGAUGUUUUCAUUG